UUUUCAACUAAGGAACCCACACAGUUUACCUCGAUUUUUUUUCAACUGAUGAUCCCACAAACAACUUGCAUAGCCAAAGCACCAGAAAUACAUCUGUUUACCCAGAGUUCUAUAACUCUUUCCUUAUGCACAUGAUGUCAACCUUCAAAUGAGAAGGAACCCAGCCAAUGCAAGCUGGUCUGAGAAGUAAUUUUGGAGUCUAGGUCAAGGUCGGGAAGACACCAGACUAGAAGAUUCAAGUAAAUCAACUGAAAAGAACUUCACAGCGAUGUAAAUUAUAGCCACGUCCCAGAGGGGCCAACUUGUCAACUUUGGAGUGUACCAUGAAGAGAAAAUGACAAGCCAGAGAAAAGGAAGUUUUCUCGAAGGCCAAGCUCUCACAAGGCACAUUCAAGAAAUGAGAAGGAGUGGUUGUAAAGAAACUUCUAGAUCUGCAGCUGUGUUCCCAAGUGUCUCGAUGAAACGCUGAGCAUGGACAAGGAUUCAACCUGAAAAACUCCACCCUUCAGCCUUCUCCUGACAAAGUUUUCCUCCUAACCGGUUAAUCAGUGAUAGAAAAAAAAAUCAAAUAACUGACUUUUUUCAAAUCAAUUUCUCAAUGAUAACAAUAUAAAUGAAAAAGACAACAUUAUAUUCAAGAUUAUAAAUUCAUUAGUUAGCUAUGUGUCACAGGAAAACAGGUUUAAGAAACCUAAGGUCACACUGGACAUAAUAUCGUGGAUGCACAUUAAACAGUAAUCUGCAGACUGACGUGAGAAAGAGGAAUAGAAUACACAUUAAAGCUUUGAAAACCUA
This is a long non-coding RNA of Rattus norvegicus (Norway rat), 795 nucleotides long. RefSeq lists it as uncharacterized. NCBI's taxonomy places the organism in Eukaryota, Metazoa, Chordata, Mammalia, Rodentia, Muridae. The record is from RefSeq and is a predicted model, not a curated record.